This 497-nucleotide ribosomal RNA is filed under the name uncultured bacterium. Its description in RNAcentral is "partial 16S ribosomal RNA". It matches the Rfam family "Bacterial small subunit ribosomal RNA", at positions 28 to 507 of the family's 1533-position model. The record is from RNAcentral.
GAUGAACGCUGGCGGCGUGCCUAAUACAUGCAAGUCGAGCGAACAGACGAGGAGUUUGCUCCUCUGACGUUAGCGGCGGACGGGUGAGUAACACGUGGAUAACCUACCUAUAAGACUGGGAUAACUUCGGGAAACCGGAGCUAAUACCGGAUAAUAUAUUGAACCGCAUGGUUCAAUAGUGAAAGACGGUUUUGCUGUCACUUAUAGAUGGAUCCGCGCCGCAUUAGCUAGUUGGUAAGGUAACGGCUUACCAAGGCGACGAUGCGUAGCCGACCUGAGAGGGUGAUCGGCCACACUGGAACUGAGACACGGUCCAGACUCCUACGGGAGGCAGCAGUAGGGAAUCUUCCGCAAUGGGCGAAAGCCUGACGGAGCAACGCCGCGUGAGUGAUGAAGGUCUUCGGAUCGUAAAACUCUGUUAUUAGGGAAGAACAAAUGUGUAAGUAACUAUGCACGUCUUGACGGUACCUAAUCAGAAAGCCACGGCUAACUACGUG